CUUUACACGUCAAGAGACGUCUGCACGACAGUUUCGACGCUAAAUGUAAAAAAAAAGCUGUAUGAGUUUAGUGUCGCAACGUUCCUGUAUUUUAUCAUUGGCUUUUAUCUUAGUCUCGAAGUGCACGCCGUUCGCACGUGAAUAACAAUGCAAAUCCAAGGUGAUAAACAUCUGCAUAAUAUAAAACAUAUUGUGGACAUCUAACAAUAAUGGCCAUGUGUGAUAACACGUAGCAGCGAUAUCAUAAAUAUUCAUUUAAAUUUAAACGUAAGAUGUUAGCUGAUGUCAGUAGCUGCUCUGAACGUCUGCCGUGUAGGACGCGCUCAGUCCGUAACGCUGUUUUAACAAAAGUCUUGUAUCGUCGCAAUGCAUUCUCGGAAACGGAAAACAUCACGGGCGCGGGAGCUGAGGGCAAAACAUAUUGUAUGUAAACAUAUGUUCACGAUAAUAGAUGUUUGCUUUGUACUGCACAGUCAAAGUCAUCGCUCGCAUAUACAGAGGACACGUUAUGUAAUCGAAGUGCAGUAUUAACAACAGUUAUCGCGGCUACUAUCAGUAUUUCACUUCGCGGUCAAACUUUUUGGAACAUACCUACAAGUCUGUCUACCUAGUUGAUGCAAUAGUACGAAUUAAAGUCAUGUUAUCGACUACGAUAGUUUAUCGAAGUAUCACACGUUGCAUACAAUUAAAUGUAUGACUUGUGGCCUUAUAACCAGAUAUACGGAACAUAGGAAGUUUCGUGUAAAUAAAUUGACGGAUUGAUAAGUCUCGUGCCUAUAAAUUGGGAAACUGAUAGCCUAGAUCGACUCUCAUCGUAUGAACUUCUGAGACUGCAGAACGUAAUCAACCGUCUCGCUGUUGGCUAGUGUUUUCCGCGUCAUACGAAAAGUAUAUUUCCUCUUAAUCUCAAUGAAUUCGAAAGGAAAAAAGUCGACGUCAAAACGCCGCCGCGUCUCUGAAAAUACGGCUGCACCAUCACCACCGCUCUGUCUUCUCCUUGGAGAUGAUUCUCUACAUGGCCAACUUCAUGUGCUUCCAAGACUACAAACGGUUUGUUCAAUCCUUUUAUCCCGAUAACGUCAUGAAUGAUCUCAUUCGGAAAAAGUUGUGGGAGCCAUCCACUUACCGGACCGAAGCCAAGUUCAUCAACGGAAAGCCAAUGGUGAUCGAGUACAACUUCGACCCCUCAAGACCAAAAGAACAUCAGAUACUGAUGAACGUCAAAUCUUUGUCACCUAUUUUUGGUGGAAUCGUAACUGAAACAAUGAAGGAAUUCACAGGGGUUCCUGAGCUAACGGAUUUCAUCGAUGUGCACGUCCAUUUGAAUCAGUGCUCAAGACGUCAAUUCGCUAGCUGCCCGUGUCACUUGGUUAACCCGAAAAGCCAAGAUUUUGAAGCCUUCAGAAAUUGUCCAACGGAGGCGUGCAAGUAUGGACACGACCAUCAUUACUGUUCACAUCACGUCGCAAGCUGGUUGAACAUUCUCGAGGAAGCUGUUGCGACGACGAGACCACCAUUGUGUCAAAGAGAACCUCGCCCGGUGCUCCACGCGUACGGCGGAUGACACUGUGUACCUUCCUGUGGUCACAAUAGAAAGUUACGGUUCCAUACUUUUUUUAUUCGCAGCUACCGGUUUAAACAGUCAACAUGAAAGGUCUACUGGUUUUACUAGCAUCGUUCCUUCUGGCACAGGCGAGGCCAGAAUCCAUGGCGGAGUCCCCUCACGCUGAGUACAGAACUAUCACCGAUCCGACCAGGUCGCGCAGAAGCGCAGAGACUGUGGGAGAACACGUUGUGAACAAAGCAGGCAUGAUAGGGACCCGAAUCGGAUUCUUCAGCGGCCCGGACACCUACUGGCCAGCCUAAUGUCUUCUGUCGUUCAGCCUAAUGUUCAUUAUUGCAGUGCCAGAUUUUUAUUACUUUUUUAAAUAAAAAGUGGCAGACUUUGCUCUAUAUCAAAUAGUCAAAACUGCAACGACAUUGUUAUCAAAAAUGUAGAUUUUUCAGACUGUAGUCAGGAAUACUACAAAUUAUUAAA
Non-coding RNA from Ostrinia furnacalis (Asian corn borer), 2038 nucleotides. The record is from RefSeq and is a predicted model, not a curated record. Lineage: Eukaryota; Metazoa; Arthropoda; Insecta; Lepidoptera; Crambidae.